Molecule: long non-coding RNA, 404 nt
Filed under: Gallus gallus (chicken)
Lineage: Eukaryota; Metazoa; Chordata; Aves; Galliformes; Phasianidae
Source: RNAcentral
CGCCCCGCCCCGCCCCCGGCCGCAGUCGGUGAGUGGCCGCCGUCAGGGACGGACGCUCCGCGCAGAGGCUCCGCCGCCGCCAUGGCCGACCCUGCCGCUCAGUCCCCGUUCGUUUCCUCCUCCUCGGCCCCAUCCGAGCCCGCCGGGCCGGCCUGCACGCGGCACGGGACCCCGGCCUGCGCCGGUAAGAGCCGGGAGGAGAGAGAAGCGGGCCCGGCUGGGCGAGGCCUUUUGGGGCCUACGUGGGGAAUUCGCGGGCCGAAAUGUGGAACUUGGAGGAGGAAAUGUAGGAUUUGGGGCGUAAGUGGGGGAUUUUGCGGCGUGGGUGAGGAGAACGGCGGCCUUGAGGCUCGAAUAAAAGGGACAGAUGGACGUAAAUGGGGUCCGGAGGACAUAAAUACGGG